This 588-nucleotide ribosomal RNA is filed under the name Cephalobidae environmental sample. RNAcentral describes it as "SSU rRNA". It matches the Rfam family "Eukaryotic small subunit ribosomal RNA", at positions 1029 to 1643 of the family's 1831-position model. The record is from RNAcentral. Lineage: Eukaryota; Metazoa; Nematoda; Chromadorea; Rhabditida; Cephalobidae.
UCCGUAAACGAUGCCAACUAGCGAUCCGCCGGUGGAUUUUUAGCCCUGGUGGGUAGCUUCCCGGAAACGAAAGUCUUCCGGUUCCGGGGGAAGUAUGGUUGCAAAGCUGAAACUUAAAGGAAUUGACGGAAGGGCACCACCAGGAGUGGAGCCUGCGGCUUAAUUUGACUCAACACGGGGAAACUCACCCGGCCCGGACACCGUAAGGAUUGACAGAUUGAUAGCUCUUUCAUGAUUCGGUGGUUGGUGGUGCAUGGCCGUUCUUAGUUCGUGGAUCGAUUUGUCUGGUUUAUUCCGAUAACGAGCGAGACUCUAGCCUACUAAAUAGUAACGAGAUUAUCAAUGUCUCAGUUGCUUCUUAGAGGGAUUUUCGGUGUUUAGCCGCACGAGAUUGAGCAAUAACAGGUCUGUGAUGCCCUUAGAUGUCCGGGGCUGCACGCGCGCUACACUGGCGAAAUCAGCGUGCUGUAUCCAUUCUCGAAAGGGAUUGGUAAACCCAUGAAAAUUUGCCGUGCUUGGGAUCGGAAAUUGCAAUUAUUUUCCGUGAACGAGGAAUUCCAAGUAAGUGCGAGUCAUCAACUCGCUCUG